Molecule: ribosomal RNA, 443 nt
Filed under: uncultured bacterium
Lineage: Bacteria
Description: bacterial SSU rRNA
Rfam family: Bacterial small subunit ribosomal RNA
Source: RNAcentral
CCAGACUCCUACGGGAGGCAGCAGUGGGGAAUAUUGCACAAUGGGGGAAACCCCGAUGCAGCGACGCCGCGUGAGUGAAGAAGUAAUUCGUUAUGUAAAGCUCUAUCAGCAGGGAAGAAAAUGACGGUACCUGAGUAAGAAGCCCCGGCUAACUACGUGCCAGCAGCCGCGGUAAUACGGAGGAUCCGAGCGUUAUCCGGAUUUAUUGGGUUUAAAGGGUGCGUAGGCGGUUUGAUAAGUUAGAGGUGAAAUGUCGGGGCUCACCCCCGGCGAGCCGUUGAAACUGGCUGUCUUGAGAUGUCGAGAGGUAUGCGGAAUGCGCAGUGUAGCGGUGAAAUGCUUAGAUAUUGCGCAGAACUCCGAUUGCGAAGGCAGCAUACCGGCGGCGAUCUGACGCUGAGGCACGAAAGCGUGGGUAUCGAACAGGAUUAGAUACCCCGGUA